RNAcentral lists this ribosomal RNA (156 nucleotides) under Arabis stelleri. RNAcentral's name for it is "5.8S ribosomal RNA". It matches the Rfam family "5.8S ribosomal RNA". Rfam says of the family: 5.8S ribosomal RNA (5.8S rRNA) is a component of the large subunit of the eukaryotic ribosome. It is transcribed by RNA polymerase I as part of the 45S precursor that also contains 18S and 28S rRNA. Functionally, it is thought that 5.8S rRNA may be involved in ribosome translocation. The record is from RNAcentral. Lineage: Eukaryota; Viridiplantae; Streptophyta; Magnoliopsida; Brassicales; Brassicaceae.
AUAACGACUCUCGGCAACGGAUAUCUCGGCUCUCGCAUCGAUGAAGAACGUAACGAAAUGCAAUACUUGGUGUGAAUUGCAGAAUCCCGUGAACCAUCGAGUCUUUGAACGCAAGUUGCGCCCUAAGCCUUUUGGCCGAGGGCACGUCUGCCUGGG